This 481-nucleotide ribosomal RNA is filed under the name uncultured bacterium. RNAcentral's name for it is "bacterial SSU rRNA". It matches the Rfam family "Bacterial small subunit ribosomal RNA", at positions 29 to 500 of the family's 1533-position model. The record is from RNAcentral.
AAUGAACGCUGGCGGCGUGGAUAAGACAUGCAAGUCGAACGAGAGAACUGAUUAGUUUACUAGGAUGUAUCUCUAGUGGCGGACGGGUUAGUAACACGUGAGCAACAUGCCUCGAAGCGGGGGAUAGCCUUCCGAAAGGGAGAUUAAUACCGCAUGUGACCUUCGGGUCAAAGGCGCCUUCGGGUGUCGCUUUGAGAUUGGCUCGCGGCCUAUCAGCUUGUUGGUGAGGUAACGGCUCACCAAGGCAACGACGGGUAGCUGGUCUGAGAGGACGAUCAGCAACACUGGAACUGAGACACGGUCCAGACACCUACGGGUGGCAGCAGUCGAGAAUCAUUCACAAUGGGGGCAACCCUGAUGGUGCAACGCCGCGUGGAGGAUGAAGGCCCUAGGGUCGUAAACUCCUGUCAUGUGAGAGUAAGGCAUAGUAGGUUAAGAGCUAACUAUGUUUGAUAGUAUCACAAGAGGAAGGGACGGCUAA